AGACUUCACUGUUAAGCUUACGGGUGCCUAACCAACCUUUACAAUCCGAGGAUACAAGCCUCAACAAUCUUGCUCGGAGAUAUAACACUCUAAGACUUCGACCAAGGAAACACAAGUUCCUUACAACAAGAGAAUCACAAUUCUCUUCAAGUGUACAAAACGCUGAAGUAAGCUCAAGAUCACAACAACUAUGGACAAGACUUUGGCUCUCAAAAGCUUUAUGAAAUGAAUAUAAAAUGAUAAACAAUAGUAUGCAAGCAUAUAGCAAUAGUAUGAUCAGUUGUUGUGUGUUAUUGUGUUUAAAACACUGAAAUGAAG
This 318-nucleotide long non-coding RNA is filed under the name Nicotiana benthamiana. RNAcentral's name for it is "long non-coding RNA (NBEN_LNC005037)". The record is from RNAcentral. Lineage: Eukaryota; Viridiplantae; Streptophyta; Magnoliopsida; Solanales; Solanaceae.